AGGGCAGUAGCUCGGUGGUAGAGCUACCGCUUCGUAUGAGGGAAGACCUGGGUUCGAUUCCCGGCUGCUUGC
This 72-nucleotide transfer RNA is filed under the name Toxocara canis (dog roundworm). It matches the Rfam family "tRNA". From Rfam's summary of the family: Transfer RNA (tRNA) molecules are approximately 80 nucleotides in length. Their secondary structure includes four short double-helical elements and three loops (D, anti-codon, and T loops). The record is from Rfam by way of RNAcentral. Lineage: Eukaryota; Metazoa; Nematoda; Chromadorea; Rhabditida; Toxocaridae.